This is a long non-coding RNA of Passer montanus (Eurasian tree sparrow), 274 nucleotides long. RefSeq lists it as uncharacterized. Lineage: Eukaryota; Metazoa; Chordata; Aves; Passeriformes; Passeridae. The record is from RefSeq and is a predicted model, not a curated record. The transcript is spliced from 3 exons.
GCCAAAGCCCGGCCGCGCCGGCUGCCCGGAGCCUGCAAAUGACUGGACCUGGUGCAGGGAGGUCCACGGGGAGAACUGGAGCAUGAUGGGCUCGAUGGCACAGUCGUCCCCGAGUGUCCCCACGGUGGCCAGCUUGAGGAAGGGUACUCAGCAUCGGCAGUGGCGUCCAAGGCCAUCAGCCCCUCCUGGAAACCGUCCCCCUUGGCCAAGGCCACCACCUGCCGCUCCAUGAACUCCUCCACCACCACUCGGUAGGAGCUGGAGAACACAAAAC